CACGUCUGGAGACAACCCCUUGGGAAAAAUACCAGAGAGCUCAAGUUUCUUAGAGAGGAAAGACAGAGAAGAAGCUUUCGGACCACACGCAGAGUUAAAGAGGAGAUAAAAGAGACCCAGAGUGGUUCCGACUGGGCCCAGAGUGAAAGAAGGAACAGAAGGUCCAGUUCAUUUACCACAAGCUACGUCUGGUUUCCCAUCCAGGGCUGACCAGGACCACCCCUUCUUAGCUUCAAAGGCAAAUCUGCAGUGGGAUGCCUCUGUGUUAUGUUGCUGGAAUGAAUAUGUUGAAACUUGCAACUGGAAAAAAGGCAAUGAACGCAAAGGCCAGGGUAACAACUAAAGAUAGGAAAAUUGCAAGAAAGAGGGAGGCAUUUUAUUUAAUUGUGUUAUCAGAAAAAC
Oncorhynchus tshawytscha (Chinook salmon) is the source of this 402-nucleotide long non-coding RNA. Lineage: Eukaryota; Metazoa; Chordata; Actinopteri; Salmoniformes; Salmonidae. The record is from Ensembl.